RNAcentral lists this long non-coding RNA (844 nucleotides) under Citrus x clementina. Its description in RNAcentral is "Citrus clementina (C. clementina) long non-coding RNA (CCLE_LNC000719)". Lineage: Eukaryota; Viridiplantae; Streptophyta; Magnoliopsida; Sapindales; Rutaceae. The record is from RNAcentral.
AAUGAAAAAAAAAAAUGAAAUUCUGAGUUCGAAGCACGAGUUUUAAAUUCGAUUGGAGAUUACGGACCAGCUUUUGCUUCUUGUGUCGUCUAUGUUAAGAGUUAAAGACAGCCUAUACAAGGACCGUGCCGACCACAGACUCGUAAUCUUAUCAAAUGAAAGUAGUUUUCUUUUUGAUAAGCACUUUGGAUUAUAUUGGUGUCAAAUUAAUGUCAAAGACCGUCUUUUCACUUUUGUUUGGUGAGCGGCUCAUUAUCACGACUCUCCAGUACACAUAGCAAUGAUUUGAAUUUUUUUGCGUUCUGGAUUCACAUAUUCUCUUUCUAAUUCAAGUGGCAACUUUUUUUUUUUUUCUUUCCCCUGCAAGUAAAAAAUACAAGAGACAAAAAAUUAAUGAAAUUUAUGGUGUAUUUAAUUAGUUUAUUUCCAUUAAUUAAAGUAUUAAACCAUCUUUUAAAUUUGACGGUAAAACAUGUAGAUUUUCUAUGACGGCUUGUAAUAUGAUUUGGUGCGAGAGACGUAAUAGAAUUAAAUUUCAUGCUCCUCUCUUUUUAUUCAAUUGUGUUGGUUAAAUCUUUAUUAACAUAAAAAGGUGGCCAAUGCAUUUACAUCCACAAGAUCAAUAAUUUCGUUUCCUUUCACAUGAAAAAAAGGGUAGACAAACAUACGUUCGCAGAACCCUGAGUAGUUUCAAUGUCAUUUUCAAUAUCUGUAAGGUCGUGAACUUAUAAUACAACAAAGGACAUAUGGAUUCUUUGAUCUCAUCUUAUCUAUAAUUGGAAGAGUUUUAUAAUUUAUGGUGAUUUCAUUUUUUGGUCGCAUUUUGGAUAGUGGUGUAAAUGUG